AAAGUCGUAACAAGGUAACCGUAGGUGAACCUGCGGUUGGAUCAUUAAUAAAUUAUUUGUAGUCUUAGUCUUAGGGGCUCUUGAGCCCCCAUGAGGAUUAAGAUCAGUCUCCGGGCUCUCGAGCCCUCUCAGUUGGUUAGCGACAGCGCCAGUGGGGACUACACAAAACACCUGUGCACUUGAAUGUAUCUUGGAUAGGAAGUUUUCUUAUCCAAAAACUUUUUUAAACCCCUUUUGAUUAAUGUCUGAAUUAUUUUAUUAAAUUAUAAACAACUUUUGACAACGGAUCUCUAGGCUCUC
This 300-nucleotide unclassified non-coding RNA is filed under the name Chytridiomycota sp. RNAcentral describes it as "partial contains small subunit ribosomal RNA, internal transcribed spacer 1, and 5.8S ribosomal RNA". The stretch from base 1 to 47 matches the Rfam family "Eukaryotic small subunit ribosomal RNA", at positions 1785 to 1831 of the family's 1831-position model. The record is from RNAcentral. Lineage: Eukaryota; Fungi; Chytridiomycota.